Molecule: ribosomal RNA, 253 nt
Filed under: uncultured bacterium
Lineage: Bacteria
Description: partial 16S ribosomal RNA
Rfam family: Bacterial small subunit ribosomal RNA
Source: RNAcentral
UACGGGGGGGGCAAGCGUUGUUCGGAAUUACUGGGCGUAAAGGGCUCGUAGGCGGCCAACUAAGUCAGCUGUGAAAUCCCUCGGCUUAACCGGGGAACUGCGUCUGAUACUGGAUGGCUUGAAUCCGGGAGAGGGAUGCGGAAUUCCAGGUGUAGCGGUGAAAUGCGUAGAUAUCUGGAGGAACACCGGUGGCGAAGGCGGCAUCCUGGGCCAAUUCUGACACUGAGGAGCGAAAGCCAGGGGAGCAAACGGG